Molecule: long non-coding RNA, 58 nt
Organism: Loxodonta africana (African savanna elephant)
Lineage: Eukaryota; Metazoa; Chordata; Mammalia; Proboscidea; Elephantidae
Rfam family: HOX antisense intergenic RNA myeloid 1 conserved region 3
Source: Rfam
GGUCUGUUUGCCUGAACCCAUCAACAGCUGGGAGAGGAAUCAACCACUCUGAAAAUGU